RNAcentral lists this transfer RNA (125 nucleotides) under Pleodorina starrii. RNAcentral describes it as "tRNA-Thr". The record is from RNAcentral. Lineage: Eukaryota; Viridiplantae; Chlorophyta; Chlorophyceae; Chlamydomonadales; Volvocaceae.
CCCGGCGUAUAGCUCAAGUUGGUAGAGCACCGGGUUAGUAACCGGCGGGUCUGGAGUUCGUCCCCAGAGUCGGCACUAACUUAACCCAACCGGAACGACGUGGGAUUCGUACCCCACCGCUGGUC